GGCUGAGAAAUACUUAAAGAAAUGUAUAACAACCUUAUUUAUCACAGGAAUGAAAAUCAAAAUUACUUUGAAAUUCCAUUUUACAUCUGUAAGAAUGGCUAAGAUCAAUAACACUAGUGCCAGUUCAUGCAGGCAAGGAUAUGGAAUAAAGUGAACACUCAUCCAUUGCUGUUGAGAGUACAAAAACUGCUCAGAGGCUAUCAUCUUCUGCUUAAGGAAGCCAAUGUCUACCACAUUUCCAAUUUAAUAAUAGAUUCUCCAUCUAUAACCAACCCAUAAUCCCUCUCAUUUGUACCUCACAAUUCUUUUUGCAUUUCAAUAAGUGGCUAAAUAAAUAACACAAGUGACUAUUCAUUCUGGCAAGGAUGUGGAACAGGGGAACACUCCUUGAUUUCUGGGGGAAGUAUAAAUUUGUACAACCCCUAUGAAAAUCAAUAUGGCACUUCCUCAGAAAACUGGCAAGCCAUUGACCUCAGGACUCAAUUAUACCACUCAGGUAUAUACACAAAGGAUAAGCAAUCCUAAUACAAGGUCACUUAUUGGACUAUGAUUGUUGCAAUUUUUUUUGCAUAGUAGCAAGAAACAAACAAACAAACAAACAAACAAAAAUAGGACAAGUCCCUUCCAGUUGGCACCAGUACCAAGUCACCUUGGGUGCAGAGUAGGCAGACACCCCCCAAGGUCCCUAGAGGACUCUCCACACUAUCUUAGGACCACUGACCAGACAGCUCCACGUUCCUCAAAGAAGACACCACUUCCAGGCACUGUAACACACCCAGGAUCUUUGACAACAGGAUCCCAGGAUAAAAGGAGCUUGGUCACACCGUAUUUCAGGGUCUCAGAGGAACUUGACUGCCAAGAACUCUGACAAACCCAGAAUCUCAGGAUCACAGGAGCCCGCAAGCAACGGAUAACAGAGAAAGCUGGACUCUGAGGAGUCCUGAAUCAACUGGGAUUAUAGGAAGGAGAGACUUCAAUCAGAUAUAUUGAGGAAAGCAAAUACUUGAGAUAAUCAGAUGGCAGGAGGCCAGCAUAAGAACAGAAACAACAGAAAACAAGGUUACUUGGCAUCAUCAGAACCAAACUCUCCCACCAUAACAAGUCCUGGAUAAAUGAUCACAUCAGAAAAGCAAGAUAUGGAUCUAAAGUCACUUCUUAUGAUGAUGACAGAGGACCUUAAGAAGGAAAUAUUAAAAAAAAAACACACACACACACACACACACACACACAGGUAAACAGAAGCCUUUAAAGAGAAAACACAAAAAUGCCUUAGAGAGAUACAGGAAAACAAUAACAAACAGGAGAUGGAAUUGAACAAAACCAUCCAGGAUCUAAAAAGUGAAUUAUCAACAAAGAAAAUCCAAAGGGAGACAACUCUGGAGAUAGAAACCCUAGG
Molecule: long non-coding RNA, 1396 nt
Filed under: Mus musculus (house mouse)
Lineage: Eukaryota; Metazoa; Chordata; Mammalia; Rodentia; Muridae
Description: long non-coding RNA chr8:6034866-6036262
Source: RNAcentral